AUUGAACGCUGGCGGCAGGCCUAACACAUGCAAGUCGAGCGGAUGAAGGGAGCUUGCUCCUGGAUUCAGCGGCGGACGGGUGAGUAAUGCCUAGGAAUCUGCCUGGUCGUGGGGGAUAACGUCCGGAAACGGGCGCUAAUACCGCAUACGUCCUGAGGGAGAAAGUGGGGGAUCUUCGGACCUCACGCUAUCAGAUGAGCCUAGGUCGGAUUAGCUAGUUGGUGGGGUAAAGGCCUACCAAGGCGACGAUCCGUAACUGGUCUGAGAGGAUGAUCAGUCACACUGGAACUGAGACACGGUCCAGACUCCUACGGUAGGCAGCAGUGGGGAAUAUUGGACAAUGGGCGAAAGCCUGAUCCAGCCAUGCCGCGUGUGUGAAGAAGGUCUUCGGAUUGUAAAGCACUUUAAGUUGGGAGGAAGGGCAGUAAGUUAAUACCUUGCUGUUUUGACGUUACCAACAGAAUAAGCACCGGCUAACUUCGUG
Molecule: ribosomal RNA, 484 nt
Filed under: uncultured bacterium
Lineage: Bacteria
Description: partial 16S ribosomal RNA
Rfam family: Bacterial small subunit ribosomal RNA
Source: RNAcentral